This 514-nucleotide ribosomal RNA is filed under the name uncultured bacterium. RNAcentral's name for it is "partial 16S ribosomal RNA". It matches the Rfam family "Bacterial small subunit ribosomal RNA", at positions 28 to 523 of the family's 1533-position model. The record is from RNAcentral.
GACGAACGCUGGCGGCGUGCCUAAUACAUGCAAGUCGAGCGGAUGAAAGAGGAGCUUGCUCCUCUAGAUUCAGCGGCGGACGGGUGAGUAACACGUGGGCAACCUGCCCUGUAGAUUGGGAUAACUCCGGGAAACCGGGGCUAAUACCGAAUAAUCCUUCGGACCUCAUGGUCCGAUGUUGAAAGACGGUUUCGGCUGUCACUACAGGAUGGGCCCGCGGCGCAUUAGCUAGUUGGUGAGGUAACGGCUCACCAAGGCCACGAUGCGUAGCCGACCGGAGAGGGUGAUCGGCCACACUGGGACUGAGGCACGGCCCAGACUCCUACGGGAGGCAGCAGUAGGGAAUCUUCCACAAUGGACGAAAGUCUGAUGGAGCAACGUCGCGUGAGUGAAGAAGGUUCUCGGAUCGUAAAACUCUGUUGUGAGGGAAGAACAAGUACCGGAGUAACUGCCGGUACCUUGACGGUACCUCAUUAGAAAGCCACGGCUAACUACGUACCAGCAGCCGCAGUAA